CACAGAGUGUGACAAGGCUGGCCCUUUGAAAUACAGGUACACCAGAAACAGGAAGAAAGAGUGAGAGAAAGUUUUAGUGAAAGAGUACAGCAGGGCUCGCCACCAUACCCUGCCGGAACCUCGUGGAGCUUUUAGUGUUUUCGCUCAAUAAACACUCACAAACGCCCGUUCUAGGAAUCGAAACCACGAUCCUACGACCGCGAGUCCGCUGCCCUAACCACUAGGCC
Octopus sinensis (East Asian common octopus) is the source of this 227-nucleotide long non-coding RNA. RefSeq lists it as uncharacterized. NCBI's taxonomy places the organism in Eukaryota, Metazoa, Mollusca, Cephalopoda, Octopoda, Octopodidae. The transcript has 3 exons. The record is from RefSeq and is a predicted model, not a curated record.